UAACAAGGUCUCCGUAGGUGAACCUGCGGAGGGAUCAUUACUGAGUGAGGGCCUUCGGGCUCGACCUCCAACCCUUUGUGAACACAACUUGUUGCUUCGGGGGCGACCCUGCCGUUUCGACGGCGAGCGCCCCCGGAGGCCUUCAAACACUGCAUCUUUGCGUCGGAGUUUAAGUAAAUUAAACAAAACUUUCAACAACGGAUCUCUUGGUUCUGGCAUCGAUGAAGAACGCAGCGAAAUGCGAUAAGUAAUGUGAAUUGCAGAAUUCAGUGAAUCAUCGAAUCUUUGAACGCACAUUGCGCCCCUUGGUAUUCCGAGGGGCAUGCCUGUUCGAGCGUCAUUUCACCACUCAAGCCUCGCUUGGUAUUGGGCGCCGCGGUGUUCCGCGCGCCUCAAAGUCUCCGGCUGAGCUGUCCGUCUCUAAGCGUUGUGAUUUCAUUAAUCGCUUCGGAGCGCGGGCGGUCGCGGCCGUUAAAUCUUUCACAAGGUUGACCUCGGAUCAGGUAGGGA
Molecule: ribosomal RNA, 510 nt
Filed under: Cercospora apii
Lineage: Eukaryota; Fungi; Ascomycota; Dothideomycetes; Mycosphaerellales; Mycosphaerellaceae
Description: eukaryotic LSU rRNA
Rfam family: 5.8S ribosomal RNA (bases 187-340)
Source: RNAcentral